Molecule: small RNA, 127 nt
Filed under: Marmota monax (woodchuck)
Lineage: Eukaryota; Metazoa; Chordata; Mammalia; Rodentia; Sciuridae
Source: RNAcentral
GCUGGGCAAGGCAGCGCAUGCCUGUAAUCCCAGUGGCUCAGGAGGCUGAGGCAGGAGGAUCGCAAGUUCAAAGCCAGCCUCAGCAAUUUAGCCAGGUCUUGAGCAACUUAGUGAGACCCUGACUCAA